UAUUAGAUUAGUGGAAAGGUAACUGUGGUUUUUGCCAUUAAAAGUGAUGGCAAAAACUGUAAUUACUUUUGUACCAACCUAAUAG
This is a microRNA precursor of Rhinopithecus bieti (black snub-nosed monkey), 85 nucleotides long. The record is from Ensembl. NCBI's taxonomy places the organism in Eukaryota, Metazoa, Chordata, Mammalia, Primates, Cercopithecidae.